Tachyglossus aculeatus (Australian echidna) is the source of this 138-nucleotide small nucleolar RNA. Lineage: Eukaryota; Metazoa; Chordata; Mammalia; Monotremata; Tachyglossidae. The record is from RefSeq and is a predicted model, not a curated record.
CCCCUCUCAGGAUCACACUUGGAGAGUCUCCAGGAUUCUACAAGUCUCGGUUAUAGGAGGGAGAGUCAAGCAGAGGCAUACCGAUUCCAUUCCUAGCUUGGGCACUGGCUAGCGAGUGGAAGGCAAUCUGCUAAAGGU